Molecule: non-coding RNA, 75 nt
Organism: Glycine max (soybean)
Lineage: Eukaryota; Viridiplantae; Streptophyta; Magnoliopsida; Fabales; Fabaceae
Source: Rfam
GAUCUAUUAGUUCAGUUAAUUAGAGCGUCGUGUUAACAACUAUGAAAGUCACAGGUUCGAAUCCUGCAUGGGUUA